This 477-nucleotide ribosomal RNA is filed under the name uncultured bacterium. RNAcentral describes it as "partial 16S ribosomal RNA". It matches the Rfam family "Bacterial small subunit ribosomal RNA", at positions 28 to 507 of the family's 1533-position model. The record is from RNAcentral.
GAUUAACGCUGGCGGCGUGCAUAACACAUGCAAGUCGAACGAUGAAACUUUAAUGAACCCUUCGGGGAGAAUUAAAGCGGAUUAGUGGCGAACGGGUGAGUAACGCGUGAGUAACCUGCCUUACACAAGGGGAUAGCCUUUGGAAACGAAGAAUAAUACCCUAUAAAACCAUAAAAGCACAUGCAAUUAUGGUCGAAGUGAUAGCGGUGUAAGAUGGACUUGCGUCUGAUUAGCUAGUUGGUGAGAUAAAAGCCCACCAAGGCAACGAUCAGUAGCCGGCUUGAGAGAGUGUACGGCCACAUUGGGACUGAGACACGGCCCAGACUCCUACGGGAGGCAGCAGUGGGGAAUUUUGCACAAUGGGGGAAACCCUGAUGCAGCGACGCCGCGUGAUUUAGAAGGCCUUCGGGUUGUAAAAAUCUUUUGUAUAGGAAGAAAAUGACAGUACUAUACGAAUAAGGUCCGGCUAAUUACGUG